Molecule: long non-coding RNA, 5497 nt
Organism: Anolis carolinensis (green anole)
Lineage: Eukaryota; Metazoa; Chordata; Lepidosauria; Squamata; Anolidae
Exons: 3
Source: RefSeq, a predicted model, not a curated record
AUAUAUAAUGCUAAUAUUGUGCUAUGCUAAUAAUAUAAUAUAUUGUAUGUACAUAUAAUUUGUAAGCCACUCUAAGUCCCCUUUGGGGUGAGAAGGGUGUGAUACAAAUAUAGUAAAUAAAUGCAGUAAAUAAAUAAAUAAUAAAUAAAUACAUUUUAGACUUAGGCUCGCCCAAAGUCUGAAAUGACUUGAAGGCACACAACAACAACAACAACAACAACAACAACCCUAAUUAACUUGACUAUCUCAUUGGCCAGAAGCAGGAGCACACUUCCCAUUGAAAUCCUGAUAAAUGUAUGUUGGUUAAAAUUAUUUUUAUUUUUAAAUAUUGUAUUGCUCUUUCAUUGUUGUUGUUGUUGUUGUUGUUGUUGUUGUUGUUUUUGCACUACAAAUAAGACAUGUGCAGUGUGCAUCGGAAUGUAUUUGUUUUGUUUUUUUUAAAUGAAAAUCCGGCCCCUCAACAGUCUGAAGGAUUGUGGACUGGCCCUCGGCUUAAAAAGUUUGAGGACCCCUGCCCAGGAGGAACUGGGUUAUUGCUGUUCCCAACCCCAACCCAAACCCUGGGCUUUCCCUCGGGGGGUAGCUAAAUGCCAUCCUUGAACAUCCCAGGAUAAUAUUCAGGCUCCCUACAAUCCCCCAUUUUCCUCUCAAAAAUUUACCCAAUGGGCCUGCCAGCAGCCCCUCUGGAGAGUUCUCCUGACACGUGAAAAUGAUGCAUGGGUGCCAUCCUGCUCCUUUGGGGUGCAGGAGCCCGAAGAACUGGGAUGGCUGUGGGGACUGACCCACGGGACUACAGAAGCAGUCCCGGGAGUCAAUCUCCACAGGAAAGGCAAUUUUAAUCAAGACACACAUAAGAAGUAUUUUCCUUAUAUAUAAGAUAAAAAAGAUAAUGUUUAUGAAAAGAAAAAAAUGAAAAAGAAAGGGAAACAAAAAUGGGAGACUGAAGAGACAAAAGGACUGAAGAGAAAAGUGAGCAGCCAGCUGCAGCCAGCUGCAACAAAUCACUCUGACCAAGAGGUCAUGAGUUCGAGGCCAGCUCGAAGCCUAUGUUUGUCUUGUCUUUGUUCUAUGUUAAAGGCAUUGAAUGUUUGCCUUAUAUGUGUAAUGUGAUCCGCCCUGAGUCCUCUUCGGGGUGAGAAGGGCGGAAUAUAAAUACUGUAAAUAAAUAAAUAAAUAAAAGAAAAAAAAACCAAAACAAAAACUAUAACACAAACACAGGAGUUUAUUGACUUCCAUCUACUUCAUGGUGAUAUAUGGGUCUUUCAGAGUCCUUAUACACUUUUCAUUGUCUCUUCCUGCAUCCCCUUCCUUCAUUAGUCUCACUUAUCCAAGCUUCACUUAUCCAAUGUUCUGUAUUAUCCAAGGCAGUCUGCCUUUUAGUAGUCAAUGUUGCAAUGUUUUGAUGCUAAAUUCGUAAAUACAGUGAUUAUUACAUAACAUUAAUACGUAUUGAACUGCUUUUUCUGUCAAUAUGUUGUAAAACAUGAUUUUUGGUGCUUAAUUUGUAAAAUCAUAAUGUAAUUUUAUGUUUAAUAGGCCUUUGUCUUAAUCCCUCCUUAUUAUCCAACAUUUUCGAUUAUCCAAUGUUCUGCCGGCCCAUUUAUCUUGGAUAAGUGAGACUCUACUGUACUGAACUUGCAGACCGAAAGGUCCCAGGUUCAAACCCCGGGAACGGCGGGAGCGGCCACUGUUAGCUCCAGGUCCUGCCAACUUAGCAGUUCGAAAACAUGCCAAUGUGAGUAGAUCAAUAGGUAUCACUCCAGCUGGAAGGUAACGGUGCUCCAUGCAGUCAUACCGGCCACAUGACCUUGGAGGUGUCUACAGACAACACCAGCUCUUUGGCUUAGAAAUGGAGAUGAGCACCAAGCCCCAGAGUCAGACAUGACUGGACUUAACAUCAGGGGAAACCUUUACCUUUAUCUUACUGUACUUAGAAAACAACAAUUUUUCUUCUAUUCUCCUUCUUUCUUAUUCAUAUUACUAUUUUCAUCUUUUCCUUUUUAAAAAUAGUAUUUGAACAUCUGCCAAUCUGUUUGACUUUUUGCUCUUCCUUGAUUUGUUGAUGUCAAGUGUGCCAGCCUGUCCAUGUUCAUAAUUUCCAUUAUUUUCAGUAUCCAUUGAUCAAUCGCCGGUAUUUCUUUGUUUCCCCAAUGUCUAGCAUAAACUACCCUCACCGCUGUUACCAUAUAAUUGAACAAUCUCUCUUUAUUCUUUUCUUUUUCUAUAUCUAACAUUCCCUAAAGGAGAUAUUUAGGUUCCAUUUUAAUCUUUAUUUGCAAAAUUUUCUGUAUUCUAUCAUGGAUUUUCCUCCAAAAUUUCUUCACAUUUUCGCACGACCACCAGGAAUGGUAGAACGUGCCUACCUGUUCCCCACAUUUCCAACAUUCGUUUGACGUAUUUGACAACUUGACAAUCUUUGUGGUGUGAUGUACCACUCUUAAUGGGUUUUCAUAGCCAAACGAUGAUUCAAACCAUGAUAGUCCAGUGUUAUUGUUCAACACUGAAAGCACUAAACUAUGGAGGCUUCCUUUUUCUUCAAAUACUUCUCCUGAAGUACAGUACUAUACAUUUUCUUAGUGUGCUGCAUGUACUGUUCAUGUUUUGAUAUCAAACCUAAUAGUUCAAUGCUUUAUACUUAUUAUUUAUAAAUUACUGUAUAUACUCAAGUAUAAGCCUAGUUUUUCAGCCCUUUUUUAGGGCUGAAAAAGCUCCCCUCGGCUUAUACUCGAGUGAGGGUCCUGGCCGGCUUAUACUUGAGUAUAUAGGUAUUCAGAGUUGGACAGUCUUAUCUUAUUAAAGUCUUAUUAUUAUUAUUAUCUUAAAUUACAGUUUUAUAUAAAUAUUCAAAAACAUUUAACCUACUGAUGCCUCAAAUAAUGCAAUUUUAUUAAUAUCUAUUUUUAUUUUUGAAUUUGUCCUGUAGCUGCUGCAUUUCCUACCCUCGUCUUAUACUCAAGUCAAUACGUUUUCCCAGUUUUUGUGGUAAAAUUAGGUACCUUGGCUUAUAUUCGGGUCGGCUUAUACUCGAGUAUAUACGAUAUAUGUUUUUUGUGCUUUCAAUGAACAGCUAACAAACUGCCAAUCUUUUUUAUUUUCCAAAGGGUUACGAAGCAAUGAAGAGUCUUGUGGUAGCUCAAUGACUAACCAUUUUAUUGUGGAAAAAAAAAAACUUCCAUGGGCUGUAGUCUAUUUAAUCAGAGGUUGGAAAAUUGCUCUACAGGACUAAUUGGUUGCACAUAUAGUUCCAAAGCUUCAAAGUAAUACAUUGGCAUUGUAGGCACCCUAAAAAUUAACACUUUCACAUUUCUCAAAAGCAAUUAUUUUUCCCCGAAGUUAUUUUCCCUCUAGAGUCACUAGAAUGUUACAAGCCCCUGGUCUGUAGCACAAAACACAUCUACGUUGCUGAAGGCAAAAUUAAAAAUAUACAUAUACAGAGUAAAGACUUUUAUAUUUAUUUAUUUACUUUUCUAUUCUGCUUUUCUUUACCCCAAAGGGGACUCAAAACGGCUUACAAACAUUAAAAUGCAUCUUAACAAAAUCAACAAUCUAAAACAUGAGCAAUUAAAACACAUAUCAAUCAAUUAAACAGAUUAAAUCCAAAUAAAAUGCUGAGUCCUGAUUAAAACAUUGUCCAUAAGAUUUACAAGAAAAUGGCAUAACGUUAUACCCCAAAUCUCCCAAAACAAUUGGCAGAAUCACUAGUUUGAAAUUUGUUCUUCUCUUUCAGUUCCCCAGUCACAGAAGGAAAAGGAAUCCAAUGUCAUGAAUUAAAAAUGAAAACAGGGACAAUCAAGAAAGAAACUCCAUUUGUUUCAAAGCACAUUCUUUGUACCAGCUUCAAUCCACACAGAAGGAAGCUGAAUAGGGUUGCAUAAAAGCCCGCCUGACAUGACAAUUUACCUCCCCAAUGAGGCAAACAGGUAUCAGAACAGCCUGGAAUAGCUAUCACAACACUGCCAUUGGCAAGUAAUCUUUAUACUUUGCCAUUAUUGAACGAAAACACAACCGUUAUUAUAUACAGAAAUACACAUGCACUGACUACAAAUGAAAUGAAAUUAUCGAGAAAGAAUGGCAUGUAAAAGCCCAGCUGGUUUCACAACACAGAGUAUGGAUACGAGAGCUGGACCAUAAGGAAGGCUGAGCAAAGGAAGAUAGACGCUAUUGAACUGUGGUGUUGGAGGAAAAUUCUGAGAGUGCCUUGGACCGCAAGAAGAUCCAACCAGUUCAUACUCCAGGAAAUAAUGCCCAACUGCUCACUGGAGGGAAGGAUAUUAGAGGCAAAGAUGAAGUGCUUUGGCCACAUAAUGAGAAGACAGGAAAGCUUGGAAAAGAGAAUGAUGCUGGGGGAAAUGGAAGGAAAAAGGAAGAGGGGCCAACCAAGGACAAGAUGGCAUCUUUGAAGUGACUGGCUUGACUUUGAAGGAGCUGGGGGUGGCCACGGCCGACAGGGAGCUCUGAUGCAGGCUGGUCCAUGAGGUCAUGAAGAGUCAGAAGCAACUGAAUGAAUAAACAAAAUGAUUAGUAUCAUUACCACCAUGACCCCACGUUUCUCCCAGAAUUAAGAUUUAAAGUGACUACAGGCAGUAGUUUUGCAUUAUAAUUCUGUUUGCUGUCAUGGGAAACUCUGAAAUAGCUGGAAAUUACUCCAGAAACUGAAUGGGUGACUGGAACAUUACCUCUGUGAUGUCUCAGGGACCCUUGAGUCAUGACCCCGCAGCCAUUAUGGAUCAGACUGAAGAGGAUAUGGGGUUUGUGCCACCUCAGCAAGAUUCUGCUCCCUUCCAGAUGUUCCCUGUUGACAGUUUGAGCCCAAAGCUAAUUACGAAAGCCUUUGAAACAGAGCCUGGUUCCCCGGACAGUGCUCCUUUUGAUAGGAGAUUGUUUCUGAAAACAUUUCACUCUGAGAAGGAGAAUCGGAGACGAAGCGCGAGAUUAGCGGAGAGAGAGGACGCUAAUUAAACCCAUUCCCUUGAGAGUUUCCAGGGAGGGUUGCAUCUGGCAAGUUGUUGUCUUCAGUCCAUUUCCCUUGGGGAAAAGUGUUCAGGCACCUGGUUUGAGGGGAGAUUUGAAGUCCCAUAAAAGUUCUGCGCGCAGGCUAGCCAGCGCGGUGUCAACGUGUCAGUUGGAAGGUUAAUAUCGACUCUAGUUCCUGUGGCGCGCUACUCUUGAGUAGACCGCACGUUGCAUCUCGUCUCCCUGUCAAGUCUGGACUGCAAUCAGUUCCACCACGACCAACCUUGCCUUGCCUUGUUAUCCCAGCCUUGGACAUUGAACCUGGAACUCUUUGAAAGACCUUGCUUUAUUCCCCACUCAAACUGCUUGGAAGUUUGAGUGUGUUUCGGUUAUUGGAUUUAAAACUUUGAACUCUAAUACUGGACAUCCAACUUUAUAUUAUUGGACUAUUUUUGACCUUUCCUAAAAGGACUAUUGCUGGACUAUAUACUCUGCUUAUUUUUGUUUGACUCCUUUUUUGCUUUAAUAAAGAUAUUAGAUUGUU